AAAUGUGGGCCGACUGUUGUGUUGCCUGCUCGCAAAAAAUGUUUUGUGUGGGCGGUGAGAUACGCGAUCGGGGUUUAAAACUUAAAAACUUGACGGACUACACUACCAGGAGUGGAGUGUGCGGCUUAAUUUGACUCAACGCG
This 143-nucleotide ribosomal RNA is filed under the name Microsporidium sp. HEM-2006DBP. RNAcentral describes it as "partial 16S ribosomal RNA". The record is from RNAcentral. Lineage: Eukaryota; Fungi; Microsporidia.